AGAGUUUGAUCCUGGCUCAGGAUGAACGCUAGCUACAGGCUUAACACAUGCAAGUCGAGGGGAAACGAUAUUGGAAGCUUGCUUCCGAUAGGCGUCGACCGGCGCACGGGUGAGUAACGCGUAUCCAACCUGCCCAUCACUUGGGGAUAACCUUGCGAAAGUAAGACUAAUACCCAAUGAUAUCUCUAGAAGACAUCUGAAGGAGAUUAAAGAUUUAUCGGUGAUGGAUGGGGAUGCGUCUGAUUAGCUUGUUGGCGGGGUAACGGCCCACCAAGGCGACGAUCAGUAGGGGUUCUGAGAGGAAGGUCCCCCACAUUGGAACUGAGACACGGUCCAAACUCCUACGGGAGGCAGCAGUGAGGAAUAUUGGUCAAUGGGCGAGAGCCUGAACCAGCCAAGUAGCGUGCAGGAAGACGGCCCUAUGGGUUGUAAACUGCUUUUAUAAGGGAAUAAAGUGAGUCUCGUGAGACUUUUUGCAUGUACCUUAUGAAUAAGGACCGGCUAAUUCCGUGCCAGCAGCCGCGGUAAUACGGAAGGUCCGGGCGUUAUCCGGAUUUAUUGGGUUUAAAGGGAGCGUAGGCCGGAGAUUAAGCGUGUUGUGAAAUGUAGAUGCUCAACAUCUGCACUGCAGCGCGAACUGGUUUCCUUGAGUACGCACAAAGUGGGCGGAAUUCGUGGUGUAGCGGUGAAAUGCUUAGAUAUCACGAAGAACUCCGAUUGCGAAGGCAGCUCACUGGAGCGCAACUGACGCUGAAGCUCGAAAGUGCGGGUAUCGAACAGGAUUAGAUACCCUGGUAGUCCGCACGGUAAACGAUGGAUGCCCGCUGUUGGUCUGAAUAGGUCAGCGGCCAAGCGAAAGCAUUAAGCAUCCCACCUGGGGAGUACGCCGGCAACGGUGA
This 899-nucleotide ribosomal RNA is filed under the name uncultured bacterium. RNAcentral's name for it is "bacterial SSU rRNA". It matches the Rfam family "Bacterial small subunit ribosomal RNA", at positions 8 to 897 of the family's 1533-position model. The record is from RNAcentral.